RNAcentral lists this ribosomal RNA (256 nucleotides) under uncultured bacterium. RNAcentral's name for it is "partial 16S ribosomal RNA". It matches the Rfam family "Bacterial small subunit ribosomal RNA", at positions 1246 to 1498 of the family's 1533-position model. The record is from RNAcentral.
GUUGCCAACCCGCAAGGGGGAGACUAAUCCCAUCAAAGCCGGUCCAAGUUAGGAAUAGGAGUCUGCAACUGGACUCCAGAAAGCUGGAAUCGCUAGUAAUCACGGAUCAGAACGCCGUGGUGAAUACGUUCCCGGGCCUUGUACACACCGCCCGUCGCACCACGAAAGCUAUUUAUACCAGAAGCCGGUGAGCUAACCGCAAGGAGGCAGCCGUCCAAGGUAUGGACAGUGAUUGGGGUGAAGUCGUAACAAGGUA